CAGGCCUAACACAUGCAAGUCGAGCGGUAACAGAUCCAGCUUGCUGGAUGCUGACGAGCGGCGGACGGGUGAGUAACGCAUAGGAAUUUACCCGAUAGUGGGGGAUAACCUGGGGAAACUCAGGCUAAUACCGCAUACGUCCUACGGGAGAAAGGGGGCCUUGGCUCCCGCUAUCGGAUGAGCCUAUGCCGGAUUAGCUGGUUGGUGAGGUAAUGGCUCACCAAGGCGACGAUCCGUAGCUGGUCUGAGAGGAUGAUCAGCCACAUCGGGACUGAGACACGGCCCGAACUCCUACGGGAGGCAGCAGUGGGGAAUAUUGGACAAUGGGGGCAACCCUGAUCCAGCCAUGCCGCGUGUGUGAAGAAGGCCCUCGGGUCGUAAAGCACUUUCAGCGAGGAAGAACGCCUGGCGGUUAAUACCCGCCAGGAAAGACAUCACUCGCAGAAGAAGCACCGGCUAACUCCGUGCCAGCAGCCGCGGUAAUACGGAGGGUGCAAGCGUUAAUCGGAAUUACUGGGCGUAAAGCGCGCGUAGGUGGCUUGAUAAGCCGGUUGUGAAAGCCCCGGGCUCAACCUGGGAACGGCAUCCGGAACUGUCAGGCUAGAGUGCAGGAGAGGAAGGUAGAAUUCCCGGUGUAGCGGUGAAAUGCGUAGAGAUCGGGAGGAAUACCAGUGGCGAAGGCGGCCUUCUGGACUGACACUGACACUGAGGUGCGAAAGCGUGGGUAGCAAACAGGAUUAGAUACCCUGGUAGUCCACGCCGUAAACGAUGUCGACCAGCCGUUGGGUGCCUAGUGCACUUUGUGGCGAAGUUAA
This 815-nucleotide ribosomal RNA is filed under the name uncultured bacterium. RNAcentral describes it as "bacterial SSU rRNA". It matches the Rfam family "Bacterial small subunit ribosomal RNA", at positions 43 to 855 of the family's 1533-position model. The record is from RNAcentral.